Molecule: ribosomal RNA, 440 nt
Filed under: uncultured bacterium
Lineage: Bacteria
Description: partial 16S ribosomal RNA
Rfam family: Bacterial small subunit ribosomal RNA
Source: RNAcentral
CCUACGGGCGGCAGCAGUGGGGGAUAUUGCACAAUGGGGGGAACCCUGAAGCAGCGACGCCGCGUGAGCGAUGGAGUACUUCGGGAUGUAAAGCUCUGUCAGCAGGGAAGAAAAUGACGGUACCUGACCCAGAAGCCCCGGUUAAAUACGUGCCAGCAGCCGCGGUAACACGGAUGGGGCAAGCGUUAUCCGGAUUUACUGGGUGUAAAGGGAGCGUAGGCGGCUGGGCAAGCCUGAUGUGAAAGCCCGGGGCUCAACCCCGGGACUGCAUUGGGAACUGGCCUGCUUGAGUGCCGGAGGGGCAGGCGGAAUUCGUGGUGUAGCGGUGAAAUGCGUAGAUAUUAGGAGGAACUCCGGUGGCGAAGGCAGCCUACUGGAGGGUGACUGACGCUGAGGCUCGAAAGCGUGGGUAGCGAACAGGAUUAGAUACCCGGGUAGUC